UCGCUCCUCUCCCCCCCGCCCCGCCUCCGCCUCCGCCGCGCGCCGCCCGGCGCCUGACUCCGUCUGGCGUGCGCGCGCGGGGAGGGGGGCGGGGCCGCGCCCGGUGACGCUCCUGCCUCUGCGGCGGCCGCCGGCGCGGCGCAGCCCGGCCCGGCCCCGCCCUCCGUGCCGUGGGCCGCGCGCGCGCGCGCCGCCGGCUCUGCGCGCGGGGGCGGCGCCAGGCGGCACCAGGGCUCCCCCCUCGCCCGCCCCGCCCUCCACUCCCCACUCGCUCCUCCAGCGGGCAGCGGAGCUCGCCCCGCCGACGCCGACGCAGUGGUCUAGGUUAAAAGGCGUUGCCGGUAACUACAGCUUGUGCUUCCCUGCAACAAAAGGAAGAAGUACAAUGUAUGCCUAUUGAGUUCUCUAAAUAAAAGAGCCUUUCGACGCUCACGCCUUUGGUUAGGUUCCAUUUGGCUGGCGUAUUGAUGCAGUCUACCUGUGGGGAGAGAGAACGCUUGCCUGUAUUUGUGAAGAGGAGACAGAGAAUUUGGUGAUUACAGACCUCCAUGUUUAGAAAUUUAAUCUAAGAGAAGACAUGACUCUUACACUUUGUGUUAAGGCAACACUUCAACACUGUCAACCUCAGAAAGCUAAGUUCCCUCAGUGAUUAGAAUAGACUGUGAUAGGGCACCAGCCACGUACUGAACUUGAGGAAGCAGAAACACUAUUCUAGACUGUCAUGUAAAUAUGUAUAUUACCAAAAUUACAUCACAGUGUAACUUUAGUCAAACUAUGAAAACAAGCUAGCUGCUUGUGUUAACCUAGGUGCUGUGCUUGAGUUUGCUGCUUUUCCCACUGAUCUCUGGAUCAGUCCAGAUAAACCAUUGCAAGUGUCUAGAAUUCUUCCAAAUGUCCUGUAACAGUCAUCACAUAACUUAUAAAAAGGGAGGAAUCUUCAACAGGUGCUAAAUUAUGGUUGAGGAACUUUGACACUUGCAUUGUUUUUCCACAGUGUUUAUAGACUGGAGGUGCUGCAGUUCAGCUUUCCCUAUGGUCAGCUCUGUGUUUUUCUGGUCUGUCUUUAGUGCCAGCAAGCUUGUUUAGGUAGCUAAUCUGUCCAAAAACCAGUAUAGGUUAAUUUUUGGCUAGAUCAACUUCCAAACUGCUUUGCUACCUAGUUGUUGCAAACACCAGUGCUACUGGAAGGAAGGAUAUGGCAGUAUCAGUCAGACUGUUGCAGGUUCAGUUUAUAUCAGCCUUGCAGACAUACAUGAUUGGGCUCAAGUGUGUGUUUUGUCAGCUCUUUCUGUGGACAAUUAUGUAGCUGCUUCAUUUUCUUCUCAGUACACUGCAAGGUUUAAAAUCUUAAGACCUUGAUUUUGUUCCAGACUAUUUCUGCUAUUCAGUUUGUCAGGGUUUUCUUGCGCUGUUCCAUAUGGAUUUCAAGAAAUUUCUUUAUGGAAGUGCCUCCGCAGAAGUCAUCUUGUGGGAUGCCAAAGAGGCUUUUUGGAAACUAAAGGCUGAAAUGAUGACUUAAAACAUAUGGAAUACAUAUCUAGUCUCAAUUCAGAAGCUGCUGCAUAGUUCAUGGCUAUGCCCAGAAGCUGGCACUAAGGCCCUGUGGAGCCUUGGGGAGACUGCUGGAAGGCUGUGUACUUGUUUACUGUUUGCUAGUGGUUUAAUGAUUACUUGUUGGAGGGAUCGCAAUUCUUGUGAUGAUGUCUUAAGAGUACAGAGCUGCGGGUGUUUGGGACCACUGUUCUUUGUAGCAGCGUGAUGUAAUUUAUAGGAUGGAUGGGGCCUCAGUUACUUGGUGAAGAGUUCACUGGUUGACUCUUCCAGUUUCAGUGCCUGGAUAUAGUUACAGUUUGAAGUACCUGCCUCAAGAAGCCAGGACAUGUAGGUCUUUUGCCUGAGGAGAUUUGCUGCUGCUGAAAGAUAGAGCUUAAGUCAGUUUUCUACUGUUUACUUUUCUUAGUAAAUAUGUAGUCACCUUAGUAAGUUUGUUUUGUGGGUGUGGGAGAGACAAUUACCUUUUCUGGUGUGCACUUAGCUUUGGAAAGAAGCGUUCUUACCAAACCUCAGAUGUGGUUUAACUGCAUGUUAAAGUCAUGGGAAGCUAUGAAUCCUAAUUCCCAGUUAAACAUGUUUAUGUCAAAGGAUUAUUUUCAGGAGAAAGGAAAGGACUUAUUGUGAAAGCAUUUCUAACUUGUUCUGAGGUUGAGGUUCAGGUGGCCUGUUUCAUUGUCUAAUGAGACUGGUCAUUUCUAAGGUAGGUUUGAAUAUUUGGGUUCAGUUUCCUCCUUUA
This is a long non-coding RNA of Harpia harpyja (harpy eagle), 2290 nucleotides long. RefSeq lists it as uncharacterized. The record is from RefSeq and is a predicted model, not a curated record. The transcript has 4 exons. Lineage: Eukaryota; Metazoa; Chordata; Aves; Accipitriformes; Accipitridae.